GCACUCCUACGGGAGGCAGCAGUGGGGAAUAUUGCACAAUGGGCGCAAGCCUGAUGCAGCCAUGCCGCGUGUAUGAAGAAGGCCUUCGGGUUGUAAAGUACUUUCAGCAGUGAGGAAGGUGGAUAUGUUAAUAGCAUAUUCAUUUGACGUUAGCUGCAGAAGAAGCACCGGCUAACUCCGUGCCAGCAGCCGCGGUAAUACGGAGGGUGCGAGCGUUAAUCGGAAUUACUGGGCGUAAAGCGCAUGCAGGUGGUUUGUUAAGUCAGAUGUGAAAGCCCGGGGCUCAACCUCGGAAUUGCAUUUGAAACUGGCAAACUAGAGUACUGUAGAGGGGGUAGAAUUUCAGGUGUAGCGGUGAAAUGCGUAGAGAUCUGAAGGAAUACCGGUGGCGAAGGCGGCCCCCUGGACAGAUACUGACACUCAGAUGCGAAAGCGUGGGGAGCAAACAGGAUUAGAUACCCUGGUAG
This 467-nucleotide ribosomal RNA is filed under the name uncultured bacterium. RNAcentral's name for it is "bacterial SSU rRNA". It matches the Rfam family "Bacterial small subunit ribosomal RNA", at positions 333 to 793 of the family's 1533-position model. The record is from RNAcentral.